GUGGGGGUGGCGAAGUGGUAACGCACUCGGUUGCAACCCGAGUAUAAGAGGGUUCGAAUCCCUCCCUCCACU
RNAcentral lists this transfer RNA (72 nucleotides) under marine sediment metagenome. Its description in RNAcentral is "tRNA-Cys". It matches the Rfam family "tRNA". Rfam says of the family: Transfer RNA (tRNA) molecules are approximately 80 nucleotides in length. Their secondary structure includes four short double-helical elements and three loops (D, anti-codon, and T loops). The record is from RNAcentral.